GGAACAAGCCAGUAAGCAGCACUCCUCCAUGGUCUCUGCAGCAGCUCCUGCCUCCAGGUUCCUGCCCUGUUUGAGUUCCUAGCUCCAUUUCCUUCUAUGAAGAAGAGUGAUGUGGACGAACGUAUUCUCUACUUGUCCAGUGGGGGUAACCAAGGACUUCAAAGGAUGGUCCCAUGCAUCAGAAAGAAGCAGAAGAGGCCCUUAGCACACACAGAGUGCCCGGAGUCGGCUCUUAGUCCGUUAUAUAAUCCUACAGCAGAGAGUCGUACUUUACGGCUGGACUAGGGACCUGCCUUUGUAUGCGAAGUCUCUCCUUCCAGCUCCGAGCUCAGCAGCAGGAGACGCUUUGGGGAACACCAGUCCCAGCUGUUAUGUUUCGAGUGUUUGGUAUGAGCCAGGCGUUAUGAAAACCUUGCUUAAUGACUCAAAUUACUUUCAGAUACUUGCUGGCAUGGAAGAGUGAUGAGAUUAGAAUCUGUUGCCGUCCAAACGCUUUGCCUGUUUCAGCUUUAGAGUCAACUUGAGCCCAGAGACGAUGCGCACAGCUUGUUACCGACAGAUUUAUGCCAUGUGGAGGGCCCAGAAUUCCCCUAGAGCUGGUUAAAGACCUGCCUCCACCCCACGUCCGUGUCUCAAGAUCACGGUGGCAGGAGCAGGUUAUUACAAACAAACAAAAACCCAAGGUCCCUGCAGGCUCUGGGUUGAGUUACUAGAGGCAUCCCAAGAUUCGAUGUCUCUGUCCACACAGCUUUUGUGUGCACGGAUGGAAAGAGAACUCGGUUUUAGCCAUAGGCUCUGUUUAGGAUUCUUACUGUGGGUCCUUUUGGCUGUGUGGUCAGGGGCAAGGCUCUGGUCCUCUCUGAGCCUUGGUUUCUUCUCUUCUGCAAUGGAAUAAUAAUGCAGCAUGCUCCACCAGGUCACAGUGAAGAUGGAGUGGGAGCGUCAGAGCACCGUGGCUUGCCAGGAGCUACACAAGUGGGGCUUGUUGUUUUGAUGAAACCCACAAGGCUCUUUGAAGGCUCUGCCUCCCCCUCAGUACUGGCUACAUCACAACAGCUCAGUAUGUACUUUAUGGCUAUCAGAGGAGCAAGAGACUUUCCUCUUGGAGGAACUGUUCCUGUGGGGUGGGGACUAGGGCAGAUUCCCAGGCCUGGCCAGCCCAGCAUCUAGCCCUUGCACUCAGUCUAUGAUGCACAGGUCCCUCCAGGCACUCUGCUCACCUUUCUUCCUGGCUAUAGCAUUGGAUCAUUUUAAAAACAACAACAACAACAACAACAAAACACCAACAGCAUGAAAUUCUUUUCUACCCAAAGAAGCCUUUCAAAACCAACAUGCUGAGUUUUUUAUGGUUUCUGUAUAUAUUUUGCUUCCAAAAGAUGGGUAGAAAGAACAGCAAGGAUGGCCCUUUGUGCCCAAGGACAAGAUCGAGCAAAGCUCAGGGAGGCCUUUCUGACCUCUGACUUCCCCCCAUUCUACCUCCUUGUCCUCACUCCCUGGCACGAGGUUUUUGAUGUGCUCUGGCUAAUUAAUUUAAAGUGACGAUCGUCUCAGAUGAGGCUGUAAAUUACUUUCAAAUGGCCCAGCCAGGGCCACCCACUACUGGAAGAUCACAUUGCAAUGACUACAUCAAGGCUUGAACAAACCCUCGACAAAAGGGGAGGGGAGAUCCUAAAACCUCAAGUAAGAGCAGAUUUCCAUGCUAUCCUCACUGCAACCCCAAGAAAGUGGAAACAGAUGGAUGGCGGCUUUGAUAAUGAGCGCAGCAAUCAAGUUUAGAUUAAAAAAAAAAAAAGCUCAACCCGACCCAGAAGGGAUGGGUUUGACAGUAAAAUCCCAGACACAUAAUGUUCUGUUUAAGAGUCUAUUGACAUAUUAGCCGGGAAGAGAGUGGGCGCUGGUGCUGGAAGAACCUAACCGUUUCUCCUGGAGCACCCUCCAGUGUCCCCUGGCCUCGGAAUGCAGACUGCUCCACGCCCUGAUGGAAGCCACCUCAGGGCCUUUGGACUGGGCUGAUGGUCAUAUUUCCCCUGGAAAUCACUAAGUGUUCUCAAGAGAAUUGCCUACUGCCUGCUGCCAGGUCUGAGCGCAGAGCAGAGGCGCUUCAGUGUUUAAUCUAUUUAUGCUUUGGAGUUAGCGUGCAUAUAUGUGAUUUGGGGCCCAGGGGCUGGUGGUGGGGACAAGAUACCAGGGGCAAAGACAAG
Molecule: long non-coding RNA, 2201 nt
Filed under: Mus musculus (house mouse)
Lineage: Eukaryota; Metazoa; Chordata; Mammalia; Rodentia; Muridae
Description: predicted gene, 47923
Source: RNAcentral